GAUGCCCCACACCAUUUGCGGAAGCAUGAAUGGGCUCCCUAUCGAGAAGGUAGCAUCCUAAAGAACACCCCUAUCAUUUGCAUGUGUUACGACUUGCACACUAGCAGAAGAUCAAAGAACUAAAAGGACCUUGCCCUCAGUCACUUAUUAACACCCCUAUCAUUUGCAUGUGUGUUGCGACUUGCACACUAGCAGAAGAUCAAAGAACUAAAAGGACCUUGGGCUCAGUCACUUAUUAAUUGUUAAUUUUCUUCUUUGCUAAACUCUCCUAUAAUGAAUGUGUUUCAGUAUUAUGCUUACAAGCACAUUCUCCAUUCCAUAUCUUUCAACAACUUCGAAAUGUUGAUAGAAGAGAAUAGCAAAAUAAAUCUUAUAUGUAAAUGUUGCUCUCCAUUUAAAAGCUAUCUUGAUUUCCGUUUCCUAGUAUCCUCCAUUGGGAGGUCUGGCGCACAUAGUUUUGGCCCCUUGGAUCAGCAAGGGUGGGAUUGAGAUGGUAUUUGAUACAAGUGUGUUUUGUUUUUAAAUUUUUAAGUUGCUCUUCC
This 542-nucleotide long non-coding RNA is filed under the name Nicotiana benthamiana. RNAcentral describes it as "long non-coding RNA (NBEN_LNC036119)". The record is from RNAcentral. Lineage: Eukaryota; Viridiplantae; Streptophyta; Magnoliopsida; Solanales; Solanaceae.